GGAUGCGAUCAUACCAGCACUAAAGCAUCGGAUCCCAUCAGAAAUCUGAAGUUAAGCGUGCUUGGGCGAGAGUAGUACUAGGACGGGUGACCUCCUGGGAAGUCCUCGUGUUGCAUUCCC
Molecule: ribosomal RNA, 120 nt
Filed under: Triticum aestivum (bread wheat)
Lineage: Eukaryota; Viridiplantae; Streptophyta; Magnoliopsida; Poales; Poaceae
Source: RNAcentral